This 72-nucleotide transfer RNA is filed under the name Isosphaeraceae bacterium. RNAcentral describes it as "tRNA-Gly". It matches the Rfam family "tRNA". Rfam says of the family: Transfer RNA (tRNA) molecules are approximately 80 nucleotides in length. Their secondary structure includes four short double-helical elements and three loops (D, anti-codon, and T loops). Further hydrogen bonds mediate the characteristic L-shaped molecular structure. tRNAs have two regions of fundamental functional importance: the anti-codon, which is responsible for specific mRNA codon recognition, and the 3' end, to which the tRNAs corresponding amino acid is attached (by aminoacyl-tRNA synthetases). tRNAs cope with the degeneracy of the genetic code in two manners: having more than one tRNA (with a specific anti-codon) for a particular amino acid; and 'wobble' base-pairing, i.e. permitting non-standard base-pairing at the 3rd anti-codon position. Lineage: Bacteria; Pseudomonadati; Planctomycetota; Planctomycetia; Isosphaerales; Isosphaeraceae. The record is from RNAcentral.
GUGCCCUUGGCCGAGCGGCUGAGGCUCUGCCCUCCCAAGGCAGUCAGGCGGGUUCGACUCCCGCAGGGCACU